This 163-nucleotide ribosomal RNA is filed under the name uncultured bacterium. Its description in RNAcentral is "partial 16S ribosomal RNA". It matches the Rfam family "Bacterial small subunit ribosomal RNA", at positions 355 to 511 of the family's 1533-position model. The record is from RNAcentral.
UAGGGAAUCUUCCACAAUGGACGAAAGUCUGAUGGAGCAACGCCGCGUGAGUGAAGAAGGGUUUCGGCUCGUAAAACUCUGUUGUUAAAGAAGAACAUAUCUGAGAGUAACUGUUCAGGUAUUGACGGUAUUAACCAGAAAGCCACGGCUAACUACGCGCCAG